CCCUUAGAUGUUCUGGGCCGCACGCGCGCUACACUGAUGCAUUCAACGAGUCUAAAACCUGCUCUGAUAGGGGUGGGUAAUCUUUUGAAUGUGCAUCGUGAUUGGGAUAGAUGAUUGCAAUUUUUCAUCUUCAACGAGGAAUGCCUAGUAAACGCAAGUCAUCAGCUUGCAUUGAUUACGUCCCUGCCCUUUGUACACACCGCCCAUCGCUCCUACCGAUUGAAUGAUCCGAUGAAUAUCAUGGAUUGAGGAUGCAAGUAGGUUCGCCUAUCUUCAUCUUCGAGAAGUGAAGUAAAUCUUAUCAUUUAGAGGAAGGAGAAGUCGUAACA
This 329-nucleotide ribosomal RNA is filed under the name uncultured eukaryote. RNAcentral describes it as "partial 18S ribosomal RNA". It matches the Rfam family "Eukaryotic small subunit ribosomal RNA", at positions 1470 to 1796 of the family's 1831-position model. The record is from RNAcentral.